Molecule: long non-coding RNA, 664 nt
Organism: Diachasmimorpha longicaudata
Lineage: Eukaryota; Metazoa; Arthropoda; Insecta; Hymenoptera; Braconidae
Exons: 4
Source: RefSeq, a predicted model, not a curated record
GGUGUGGGAUAGAAGGAAAGCACAGACGUUAGCAGCAAUGGAGGAACGAGAAGGUAACGAGUCCGAUAAGAGAGAUGAGAAGAGGGAGAAAGGAGAGGGUUGAUACCUCCGGAAAACUGCCAGCAUUGCCACGACUGUUGGAAUAUCCUUGAUUCUCCAGUGAUUCUCCAUCUCCUUCUGCACUUCUGGCAUCACACAGCAAAACCUGUGCGAGGCUUCUCAUACCAGGAGAGAGGGGCCGUGAUGAGGGAAGUUUUUGUGGUGGCAGAGAUUAGAGGAGUAAUUUUGCCAGCGAUUUGAGAGAAAAAUGGGGGAAAAGGCCGCCAUACUGGUGAAUACGCCAAGCCUUGAUCGCAAUGGCGAUCUCCCGAGGUCCUGAUACUAAGGAGAGCAAGUUUCCCAGACAUCGGUAUGGGAUGAAGUUUAACGAGUCCAGCAAUGGGUUAUGAAAGAUGGAAAUUGAUCUUGAGGUGAAUAUUUCGAAGGACUGUAGGAAGUCAUGAAAGCAGAUGAGUCUUUAACCAUUCCAUAGAAUUGAAAAUCAAUGGCCACGUUACUGGACAUUUUUAGACGGAACAGAUCGGUAAGUAAACACGUUUGACAUUUUUUUUUUUUAAUUGACGAUCAAAACCUUUGUGGAAAAUGUUCUUAUGGAGUUCCCGGU